RNAcentral lists this ribosomal RNA (253 nucleotides) under uncultured bacterium. RNAcentral's name for it is "partial 16S ribosomal RNA". It matches the Rfam family "Bacterial small subunit ribosomal RNA", at positions 524 to 776 of the family's 1533-position model. The record is from RNAcentral.
UACGAAGGGGGCGAGCGUUGUUCGGAAUUACUGGGCGUAAAGGGCGUGUAGGCGGCCAACUAAGUCCGACGUGAAAUCCCCAGGCUUAACCUGGGAACUGCGUCGGAUACUGGAUGGCUUGAAUCCGGGAGAGGGAUGCGGAAUUCCAGGUGUAGCGGUGAAAUGCGUAGAUAUCUGGAGGAACACCGGUGGCGAAGGCGGCAUCCUGGACCGGCAUUGACGCUAAAGCGCGAAAGCCAGGGGAGCAAACGGG